CAGCACCUCAAGUGGUCAGGAUGAUUAUUGGGCCUAAAGCAUCCGUAGCCGGCUCUGUAAGUUUUCGGUUAAAUCUGUACGCUCAACGUACAGGCUGCCGGGAAUACUGCAGAGCUAGGGAGUGGGAGAGGUAGACGGUACUCGGUAGGAAGGGGUAAAAUCCUUUGGUCUAUUGAUGACCACCUGUGGCGAAGGCGGUCUACCAGAACACGUCCGACGGUGAGGGAUGAAAGCUGGGGGAGCAAACCGGAUUAGAUACCCGAGUAGUCC
RNAcentral lists this ribosomal RNA (270 nucleotides) under uncultured archaeon. RNAcentral's name for it is "partial 16S ribosomal RNA". It matches the Rfam family "Archaeal small subunit ribosomal RNA", at positions 477 to 747 of the family's 1478-position model. The record is from RNAcentral.